RNAcentral lists this ribosomal RNA (253 nucleotides) under uncultured bacterium. RNAcentral's name for it is "partial 16S ribosomal RNA". It matches the Rfam family "Bacterial small subunit ribosomal RNA", at positions 524 to 776 of the family's 1533-position model. The record is from RNAcentral.
UACGUAGGGUGCAAGCGUUAAUCGGAAUUACUGGGCGUAAAGCGCGUGUAGGCGGCAAUGCAAGUCGGGCGUGAAAUCCCACGGCUCAACCGUGGAAGUGCACUCGAAACUGCAUAGCUAGAGUCCUGGAGAGGAAGGUGGAAUGCUUGGUGUAGAGGUGAAAUUCGUAGAUAUCAAGCGGAACACCGGUGGCGAAGGCGGCCUUCUGGACAGUGACUGACGCUGAGACGCGAAAGCGUGGGGAGCAAACAGG